This 1491-nucleotide ribosomal RNA is filed under the name uncultured rumen bacterium. RNAcentral describes it as "bacterial SSU rRNA". It matches the Rfam family "Bacterial small subunit ribosomal RNA". The record is from RNAcentral.
AGAGUUUGAUCAUGGCUCAGGAUGAACGCUGGAGCGUGGUAGACGGAGAUGAACACAUGCAAGUCGAGCGAGACUCCGGCAGAAGAGACUUCGGUUAAAUCAGUCGGACGAUAGCGGCGGACGGGUGAGUAACGCGUAGGCAAUCUGCCCCGUACAGAGGGAUAGCCGUUGGAAACGACGAGUAAGACCUCAUGAUGCAGCACUUUCACAUGGGAGAGCUGCCAAAGAUUUAUCGGUAUGGGAUGAGCCUGCGUCUGAUUAGCUGGUUGGUGAGGUAACGGCCCACCAAGGCGACGAUCAGUAGCCGACCUGAGAGGGUGAUCGGCCACAUUGGAACUGAGACACGGUCCAAACUCUUUCGGGAGGCAGCAGUGGGGAAUAUUGCACAAUGGAGGGAACUCUGAUGCAGCAACGCCGCGUGAAGGAUGAAGGUUUUCGGAUCGUAAACUUCUGUCCAUGGGGACGAAGAAAGUGACGGUACCCGUGGAGGAAGCCCCGGCUAACUACGUGCCAGCAGCCGCGGUAAUACGUAGGGGGCGAGCGUUAUCCGGAAUUAUUGGGCGUAAAGAGUGCGUAGGUGGCCCACUAAGCGCAGGGUUUAAGGCAAUGGCUUAACUGUUGUUCGCCUUGCGAACUGGAGGGCUUGAGUUCAGGAGAGGAAAGUGGAAUUCCUAGUGUAGCGGUGGAAUGCGUAGAUAUUAGGAGGAACACCGGUGGCGAAGGCGACUUUCUGGACUGAUACUGACACUGAGGCACGAAAGCGUGGGGAGCAAACAGGAUUAGAUACCCUGGUAGUCCACGCCGUAAACGAUGAGCACUAGGUGUCGGGGCCGUAAAGGCUUCGGUGCCGCAGUUAACGCAAUAAGUGCUCCGCCUGGGGAGUAUGCACGCAAGUGUUAAACUCAAAGGAAUUGACGGGGACCCGCACAAGCAGCGGAGCAUGUGGUUUAAUUCGAAGCAACGCGAAGAACCUUACCAGGACUUGACAUCCCCCUGACAGGGCUUUAAAAGGCCCCUUCUUCGGACAGGGGAGACAGGUGGUGCAUGGUUGUCGUCAGCUCGUGUCGUGAGAUGUUGGGUUAAGUCCCGCAACGAGCGCAACCCUUGCCUUUAGUUGCCAUCAUCAAGUUGGGCACUCUAGAGGGACUGCCGGGGACAACUCGGAGGAAGGUGGGGAUGACGUCAAAUCAUCAUGCCCCUUAUGUUCUGGGCUACACACGUGCUACAAUGGCCGGUACAGCAGGAAGCGAAGCCGUGAGGCGGAGCGAACCCCAAAAGCCGGUCCCAGUUCGGACUGCAGGCUGCAACCCGCCUGCACGAAGUCGGAGUUGCUAGUAAUCGCGGAUCAGCACGCCGCGGUGAAUGCGUUCCCGGGUCUUGUACACACCGCCCGUCACACCAUGGAAGUUGGUGGUGCCCGAAGUCGGUCAACAAAUCUACUGCCUAAGGCAAAACCAAUGACUGGGGUGAAGUCGUAACAAGGUAACCGUA